AUUGUUCUGCAAAAAUAGAAAUUAAACUUGCAAACAGAUUAAAUAUUAAACCACAGCCAACACCGAUAAUUUGUGAAAGGUUAGUUGCGAGUCCAUUGAUUAGAACGGAGACAGUGGCGGUGGUUGACGAAGAAGCCGUGAGAUGGACGUCACAGGUGAAGGUUGAAGGUGAGUUCUGGGCUUGGUAGCGGAAGUGGAAUCGGUGUAAGCGUCGCGGUUUUGAAGGUGUUAGGUGUUGCGAUUUGGGUUUAAAGGUGUUGGAAAAGGAUCGCGGAGGAGAGCGGUGGAGGGUUUCGUGUGAGGUUCCGUCAAAGGUAGAGAACGAUGGUGGAGAUGGGAAGAGGAAAAUGAAGGUUAAGCGGCGGUGGCGGCUUCACGGAAGAUGAAGGGCGAUUGAAGCGAUUUGGUGGCCGGUGAUGGAAGGAUUUAUGGAUUGUGACGGCAAUGGUGAUUUGGGUCGGUAGCGUGAGCUUGAGCGGAAGGUUUCGCCGGUGACGAAAAGGCGGAUGAAGGAAUUUCGGCUUGGGUUUUGUGGAUUUGAGAAUGAGAUGUGAAGGUGAGGGAGAGUGACUUGUGUGGAAGGGUUUUGUUUGAUGGUUUUUUGUGAGAGAGAUGAGUGAAUCCGAGAGUGAGGUUUUCUGUGUGAGAGUUGAGAGAGUGAAUGGAGUGUGAGCGUGAGAUGUGAGCGAGAGAAUAUCUUUUAUUACCUUUAUUUUUUGUCGUUUAUGUCGGUACGAGAGAGAGGAAUGGGGUCAGGUUGUUAGUAGUGGAGAGUGUUUUUGUAGUGCAGAGAGACGUUGGGAUAGUGAGAUUCUUAUCAUUUAUUUUUUGUUUUUUAAAAGAGAUAAGAGAAUCCAAUGCUAAUAAUAUAUACAUUAUUAAAUAACAAAUUAUUAAAGCAAAGCUAAUUAAUAUUUAAAAAAACCUAAAUAAUAUUUUAAAUAAACUAACUAUUAUUUAACUAAUGUUUUAAAACAAACUAAUAUUUACUUAAAUAAACUAAUAUCUACUUAAAAUAGCUAAUACUUAAAACAACUAAUUUAAUAUUUUUAAAAAAACUAUUCUAAUUUUUUUAAUAAAAUACCAACAAAAUAUUUGACCAGUUAUAAAAAUAAAGAAAAAACCGAGUACAAAUUUUAAUCGAAAAAAUUAAACCAGUCACACUAAAAUUGUCAGCAAAGAAACCAACUUAUUAAAAAUACAGUCUUUCCUUCGAUUCAACCGAUUUUUCUGUAUUCUCAAAUAAAUUCAUCCUGACCGACAUUUCAGGUAUUAUUCAUGAUGCAAAUGUAUGUCAUGUUAUGCAUAUGAUGUUAUAAUAAAAAUGAAAUCGAUUCUAUGAUAAUUUAAAUAUGCCCGGACAAAAUUGGGGUACGACANAGUCCAUUGAUUAGAACGGAGACAGUGGCGGUGGUUGACGAAGAAGCCGUGAGAUGGCCGUCACAGGUGAAGGUUGAAGGUGAGUUCUGGGCUUGGUAGCGGAAGUGGAAUCGGUGUAAGCGUCGCGGUUUUGAAGGUGUUAGGUGUUGCGAUUUGGGUUUAAAGGUGUUGGAAAAGGAUCGCGGAGGAGAGCGGUGGAGGGUUUCGUGUGAGGUUCCGUCAAAGGUAGAGAACGAUGGUGGAGAUGGGAAGAGGAAAAUGAAGGUUAAGCGGCGGUGGCGGCUUCACGGAAGAUGAAGGGCGAUUGAAGCGAUUUGGUGGCCGGUGAUGGAAGGAUUUAUGGAUUGUGACGGCAAUGGUGAUUUGGGUCGGUAGCGUGAGCUUGAGCGGAAGGUUUCGCCGGUGACGAAAAGGCGGAUGAAGGAAUUUCGGCUUGGGUUUUGUGGAUUUGAGAAUGAGAUGUGAAGGUGAGGGAGAGUGACUUGUGUGGAAGGGUUUUGUUUGAUGGUUUUUUGUGAGAGAGAUGAGUGAAUCCGAGAGUGAGGUUUUCUGUGUGAGAGUUGAGAGAGUGAAUGGAGUGUGAGCGUGAGAUGUGAGCGAGAGAAUAUCUUUUAUUACCUUUAUUUUUUGUCGUUUAUGUCGGUACGAGAGAGAGGAAUGGGGUCAGGUUGUUAGUAGUGGAGAGUGUUUUUGUAGUGCAGAGAGACGUUGGGAUAGUGAGAUUCUUAUCAUUUAUUUUUUGUUUUUUAAAAGAGAUAAGAGAAUCCAAUGCUAAUAAUAUAUACAUUAUUAAAUAACAAAUUAUUAAAGCAAAGCUAAUUAAUAUUUAAAAAAACCUAAAUAAUAUUUUAAAUAAACUAACUAUUAUUUAACUAAUGUUUUAAAACAAACUAAUAUUUACUUAAAUAAACUAAUAUCUACUUAAAAUAGCUAAUACUUAAAACAACUAAUUUAAUAUUUUUAAAAAAACUAUUCUAAUUUUUUUAAUAAAAUACCAACAAAAUAUUUGACCAGUUAUAAAAAUAAAGAAAAAACCGAGUACAAAUUUUAAUCGAAAAAAUUAAACCAGUCACACUAAAAUUGUCAGCAAAGAAACCAACUUAUUAAAAAUACAGUCUUUCCUUCGAUUCAACCGAUUUUUCUGUAUUCUCAAAUAAAUUCAUCCUGACCGACAUUUCAGGUAUUAUUCAUGAUGCAAAUGUAUGUCAUGUUAUGCAUAUGAUGUUAUAAUAAAAAUGAAAUCGAUUCUAUGAUAAUUUAAAUAUGCCCGGACAAAAUUGGGGUACGACANNNNNNNNNNNNNNNNNNNNNNNNNUCUAUUUGCAUAAAAAUUAAACAUUACAACAAUUACCAGUAAACAAUUGUAGAAUUGAUUCCGCGGAAUGCGACCAUCAACAGGAGGUCGUGCUUGCUGGAUUUUUUAGAACAUACGAAACAAUCGAGGAUUUCCCAAGUCUAUCAUUACUUUGGUGUUGACUCGCCAUACUUCCCGCUUCGCUUCGCCCCUUUUAAUCCUUUGGUACUGAAACUGGCCGGAGCAAUUGUUUCUGCCCCCAAAAAUAGAAAUUAAACUUGCAAACAGAUUAAUAUUUAAACCAAGCAACACGUAAUUUGUGAAAGCGUUGUGCCGAACGAGUCCAUUGAUUAGAACGGGACAGUUGGCGGUGCGGUGACGAAGAAGCCGUUUGGAGAUGGCCGUCAGCAGGUGAAGAGUUGAAGGUGAGUUCUGGGCUUGGUUUAGCGGAAGUGCGAAUCGGUGCUGUAAGCCGUCGCGGUUUUGAAGGUGUUAGGGCUGUUGCGAUUUGCGGUUUAAAGGCGUGUUGGAAAAGGAUCGCGGAGGAGAGCGGUGCGAGGGUUUCGUUGCUGAGGUUCUUCAAAGGUAUGAGAAAACGAUGCGUGUGCAGAUGGGGAGAGGAAACAUGAAGGUUAAGCCGGCGGGUGGCGGCUUCACGGAAGAUUUGAAGGGCGAUUGAAGCGAUUUUGGCUGGCCGGUGAUGGGAAGCCCGAUUUAUGGAUUGUGACGGCAAUGCGUGAUUUGGCCGGUGUCGGCGUAGCGUGAGCUUGCAGUGGAAGUUUUCACCGAACCCGUGACGAAAAGGCGCGAUGAAGGAAUUUCCGGCUUGGGUUUUGUGGAUUAGAGACAGAAUUGGAGAUUGUGAAGGUGAGGAGGACUGACUUGUGCUGGAAGGUCUUUGUUGAUGGUUUUUUGUGAGAGAGAUGAGUGAAUCCGAGACAUGAGGUUUGGUUCUGUGCUGAGAGUUGAGAGAGCUUGAGUGCAGUGUGAGCGUGAGAUGCUGACGAGAGAAUAUUUCUUAUUAGCCUUUAUUUUUGUGCGUUCAUUGUCGGUACGAGAAGAGCAGGAAUCUGGGUCAGUUGGUUAGUUGAGUAGUGUUUAGUGGUAUGUGUUCAGAGACGUUUGGGAUAGGUUUGAGAUUGUUAUCUGUAAUUUUAUUGUUUUGUGUGUUUAAAAGAGAUAAGAGAAUUCCAAUGCUAAUAAUAUAUUAUCAGUUUAUUAAAUAAUAUAUACAAAUUAUUAAAGCAAAGCUAAUAAUAUUUAAAAAUCCUAAAUAAUAUUUAAAUAGACUAACUAUUAUUAACUAAUGUUUUAAACCAAACUAAUAUAUUAUGAAAAUAAACUAAUAUCUGACUUAAAAAUAGCUAAUACUUAAACUCAACUUAAUUUAAAUUUUUAAAAAAAACAUCUAUUUUUCAAUUAAAGAAACACAAUCAAAAUAUUGACCAUGUUCAUAAAAAUAAAGAAAAAACCGAGUACAAAUUUUUAAGUCGAAAAAAAAUUAAGACCAGCUCACACUAAAAUUGUCAGCAAGAAACACCAAUUUUAAAAAAUCACAAGUCGUUUCCUUCGAUUCAACCGAAUUUUUCUGAUAUUCUCAAAUAAAUUCAUCGCCUGACCGACAUUUCAGGUAUUAUUCAUGAUGCAAAUGUAUGUCAUGUUAUGCAUAUGAUGUUAUAAUAAAAAUGAAAUCGAUUCUAUGAUAAUUUAAAUAUGCCCGGACAAAAUUGGGGUACGACACUGCCCACGCUUUAUUUUUACACGUUUUACUUGUCCCUUACGCCUCACAUUCUAAAACAACUUUUCAUCAUGAUCAAUAUCGUUGUGUUUGUUUGAAUUACCAUGUCUGGCUAAAUCUUUUAAAGGUUAGAAUGUAAGGAUCGUGGUUAAAGAGAUGUUUCACAUAUUGAAUCUGUAGAAAUACCUUAAAGGCUGUUUUGAUUUUUAACUUGAGUUUUCUGAAACAAACUUGGUUAGUUUUAACUAUUCAAGGAGUGCGAAAGCACCCUGGCUUAGUUAACUAGGAAUUUUUAUCACUUUAAGGAAAAAACUAUUUUUGAAACUGUUUUCGGACGCGUUGAUAGAUUUAAAAUCAGGAAACUCCUUGGGUAAAACUUUCCAAAUCAAAAUCACUUUUCAACUAAGUUUAUGAGUCUUAUUUCUUAAAAUAAGUUUACUACUUUAGCAUUUUGCGCACCUUUUAUAAGUGACAAUAAAAGGCCUUAUAAAAGGAUUUCUGUUAAAUGGAUUCUUUUCAAGAGUAGAAAAUAUUGCCUCAUAAGUAGUUCUAUUUAGAAAAUCGAAACAUCACUUAACUGACGUGAGAUACAUUCAACCUAUCUUUACCUACAUUUAUUAUUUACCGUUAUUUUGCAACCCCAAUAUCUCUUUUAUACCGUCUUAGAUAAACAUCAUAAAGAUAGUAAUCGAUAGAUUAACGAUUCGGUCUCUGUGGGUUUGAUAUUCUUUUGUAUUACUUUGACGCGAUUCGUGCACUUGUGAAUUCACACGAUCAGCAAGCAACAAUAUAGACUCAUUGCACGAAACCAAGAGAUUUCUCAAAAAUAAAUUUGAGAUGAAAGAUCUUGGGAACGCCUCCUUUGUCUUAGGAAUUCAAAUACUUAGAGACCAUUCUCGAGGUAUUUUAGGAUUGUCACAAAGGAGCUACAUUGAUACAGUUCUUCAUAUAUUCUCCAUGAAAGAUAGUAAACCAGAAGACACACCUAUUGCUAAAGGAGACAAGUUUUGUCUCAAAUAGUGCCCCACCACGAAUCUUGAAAAGGAAGAGAUGCAUAAGGUUCCAUAUGCUUCAAUUGUGGGAAGUCAUAUGUAUGCUCAAGUUUGCACCCGUCCCUACUUAGCAUUCAUUAUAGGAGUUCUUGGCAUAUAUCUAAGCAACCCUGGUAUGCAACACUUGAUAGAAGUAAAACAUGUAAUGCGCUACCUGAAGAGAAUAAGAGACUUUAUGCUCACUUAUGGGAAGUUAGAGAACUUGCAGAUCAUUGGGUAUUCUGACUUAGAUUUUGCAGGAUGCUCGGAUAGUAGACGUUCCACAUCUGGUUACAUUUCUCUUGGCUGGAGGAGUUGUCUCCUGGAAGUCUUCCAAACAAAAUUUAGUGGCUCCCUCCACCAUGGUAGCAGAGUUGAUGGUUUGCUUUGAGGCAUCAAAUCAUGCAAUCUGGAUGCAGAACUUUGUCACCAGCCUACACAUUGUUAGGAGCAUUGAAAGGCCCUUGAAGAUUUAUUGUGACAAUAGUGCAGUUGCUCUCUACUCCAACAACAAUAUGAGUUCUACAAAAUAAAAAUUUAUUGAUAUCAAGUAUCUUGUUGUGAAAGAAAGAGUUCAGGAGAAGAAAAUUUUGAUAGAACAUAUAGGGACAAACUUAAUGCUAGCUGGCUCGCUAACCAAAUGUUUGACACCUAAAGCUUUUCAUGGGCAUGUUGGUCACAUGGGUCUUGGUUUUGAGAUUGCCUUUGAUUAGUGAGAGUUUUUUUCCUCAUUUUUCUAUGUUUUAUGUUUUGGUACAAACUUUAUGUUAUGUUUAAUUUUCUGCAUAAAUAAAAACUUAUGAGGUACUAUUGUUAUUACAAUAUCAAGUUUUUUGUUAUAUGCAAAUAUUGAAAAAAAUUAGAAUUGCACCUAAGGAACGUCAGUUUGAUCUCACUAAAGACUUCAGUAAGACCAGUUGGAAAUAUGCAUGAUUUAGAUAUCACAUUGCAUGAAAUUUCCAUGCCACUAAUCCAUAUCGAUCUAUGUCAUCAAAUACGUUGAUGUGGUGGCCGCCAGGGUUCUGUCACAUUAUACGUUAGUGACUACAACCAUGAUGAUCCCAUUAUUGAUGUAUGAGGUAGACCAAAUUGUAAAGUUGAAAUCUAAGGAUAAAUACCAUUCAGACGUGCGCCUAAAGAACUAUGAUCUAAUUAUUAACAUAUAUCGCCCAAGUGGGAGAUUGUUGGAAUAUUAUUUUAUAUGUUAUUUUAAUAUCCCGAUGAUUAUAUAUAUAUAUAUAUAUAUAUAUAUAUAUAUAUAUAUAUAUAUAUAUUAGUUAUAUUAGCUAUUUCAUCAAUUAAUUGCCUUAGAUAAUUAAGUGAUCAAAUAUGAGUGGAUGUCAGGAUGACUAAUUUGGGAAUAAUGGGAGCCCUAAUUGGCCAUCACACUAUAUAUAGGAUAUGAUCCUCAAUAUACCACACAAGAAAAAGGAGUAUCAGUUGAGGAAGAACCACAAAAGUCAAUUAGGGAAUUCGAUGCAUAAGGAGUACCGGUUGAGGAAGAACCACAAAAGCCAUCAACUUCUGAGUUUUAGGAUUAUCGUAAAAGAGAAUUUUCUCAAUAGAUCCAGGUAUUCUAUAAUCAAUUUAUCGAUCCUAAAAUUUUAUACAUACUUGUAUCACUAUUUUGAUUCCGCAUAAAAGAUAUGUCAUAGUAUGUUAAGCAUGUAUAUUGAAUUGAUUUAAUUCUAACAUCUCCAUCAUUCACUACUAUAAAAUAGACCUUUCGUAACACCAAUUUUACAACAAACAUAUUGUUAACUGUGGAAAUAGUUUAUUUAUGGGACUUUUUUUUAGUUGCUAAAGGACAUCUCACAACGAUAAAAUGAAGCAAUUGUAGUGAAAGAUACACAUAGUGACAUGGUAUGAAUCCCAACAUCAACAAUUAGAUAUUUAUCGUGAUAAAAAUGUGAUUGACAAUGUAUAUCACCACAUUUUUUAUUACCAAGCGUGAUAAAAGGUGAUACUUAUUUAUAUAUAAGCAAAAUUAUCUCUCGCUUCAGUAUAUAAUAGUCGUCUCUCUUAAAACAAAACCCUAGCAUUCCAAUUAAACCUAGAUUGAUUUAUGCAAGUUACAUGAACCAUAUGGAGCCUCUAUAAAUAGAGAGACAAGCCGCAUAACUCAAUACACAAGAAUUGGCACAAAAACUCCAUUGUAGCAAAUUCUCCAAACCUCAAACUUCCAAAUUCCAUUGUGCUUGUGUUUUCUCCAAACCAACACUUAAAACAACUUCUAAACAUCCAUUAGAAGUUGUCCAAACACUUGAACAACUUCUGUAACAUCCCUACCAUCAUCUUCCAAAUCACAUUUUCAUAGCUUGCAACUUGAUUUGGAAAGUAAGAACCCAUCACUCUCAGCUCAAUCCAGACAUUCAAACACCUUCCUUGAGGUGUAAGGAAGAUGUUCAGAUCAUAAAAUCACAUAUGGAACACCCCUAUUUCAAAACACGAUUUUCAUUUUUAAGGUAUGUAUUAAUUUCUGUAAUUUAUGAUUUAAGACACCAUUUUGCAUCAUUCUUGUUACCAUUUCACUUGCCAAGAUGUGAGGAACAAAACCCCUAUGAUCAUUGGUCUUAAUCGGUGAUGUUUGGAAAUUAAUUUUAAAUUUGAUUUUUAGGGUUCACAUGCAUUUUGUUUGAUUUUUGGAUAUUUAUGAAAAAUAAAUGAAAUUGGUGAGUACCAUUAGAUUCCUUGCGAAAAUCUAAACAAUUAUGUUAUUUACAACUUUUAAUUUCGUUAAGAAUAGAGAGAGUUAGAGUUUUGACAUUAAUUGAAAAUGGUGGAAAUGAUGGACUACGGGAUGAAUGAGGAAGAUGAAUUUGUAAGAACAAAUAUAGUUCUACAAUAUAUCUCUAAUAUUUUGAUGAUAAAAAAGGAUGAAAUGAAAAUGGUACCCUAACGAAAUUUUUCUAAGUGUGCAAGACUUUGAUCAAAACAAUCGGAUAGGCAACCAUCCUAUACAUAAUCAAGCGCUAAGAUACUACUCAGAAGAUAACGUGACCAGAAGGCUCUGACUCUGAUCCAAGGCAGGUGCUAGCAAAACUAAAGAAGUCAGAAACUAUGAAAGAGAAGAAUGAAUCCAGACUCUGAAGACGUACACUCUGAAGAAGUUAAAUAAAGGUAAACUCUGAUGAAGUCAGAUACAAGCAUCAUCUGAAGACGAAUAUCGCCAAAUAAAGACUCUGACUACAGGAUUCACAAGAAAACUUAACCUCGAAGAAAAUUUCUUAUAAAAAGAAACUAUUUUUAGAAGGAAGUUAUGACGCUCCCAUUUCUGCUUUGGAAUGAACAAGGAGAGUAAUGACAUUAAUCAUUCUUCAAUGACCAAGAUUCUGCCAUUAACAUCACCCAACGGUCCUCUCAUUUUCCUAUAAAAAGGAUGGAACGCUUCACAAAAAACACACCUGAGAUACACGAGAAUAAAAUUCUUCCAUUACUUUCUUUCACUCUCUCACGAGCCGCUGCUCUUACGUAAGAACUUUUCUUGCUCUUAUACUCUAUAAUAUUUGCUUAUUGUUAGAAGCACUAUUCAUUACUAAUCAUAUCAUUUCCAAGAUAUUUCCUCAAGUGACUCUGUGAAGUCUGAAUACUUGAGAGGGCUAAGGGAUUAUUUCUCUUAGACGGUUGUUUGUGUAAUAUUUCAAGAUUAGUGGAUUAAGUCCAUUUUGAAGGUGAAAUCACCUUGGUCGGGUGGACUGGAGUAGCUUUGAAUUUCAAGCGAACCAGUAUAAAAUUAUAUGGUGAAUCCUUUUUAUUCUACAUGUGUCUAAGUUCUUAAUUUUUUUAAAUUUUCCAAAACAAUUCAAACCCCCCUUUCUUGUUUUUCUCUACCUUAAAUUGGUAUCAGAGCUUCGGCUCUGUUAUUGAUUUUCUAAUCAAACACUUAACCGUGUAGAGAGAUCCAACGUGAGAAAAACACUAUGGCCAACACCAAUGAAGGAGAUAGUUACAAUGCUAAACCUCCAAUCUUUGAUGGAGAAAAAUUUGAUUACUGGAAAGAUAGAAUUGAAAGUUUCUUUCUGGGCUAUGAUGUUGAUCUAUGGGACAUAGUCACAAUCAGCUACACACCUCCUGUGUCUGACGCUGGCGUUGCCAUUACCAGAAGCAAAAUGACAGAUGAUCAGAAGCGCGACUUCAAAAACCAUCACAAAGCUAGAACGAUACUGCUAAAUGCCAUUUCCUACAAUGAAUAUGAAAAGAUCACCAAUAGGGAAACAUCUAAAGAAAUACUUGACUCCCUGAGGAUGACUCACGAAGGAAAUUCUCAAGUCAAAGAGGCAAAGGCUCUGGCUCUAAUUCAGAAGUACGAAGCCUUCAAGAUGGAGGACGAUGAGGCUAUAGAGGUAUUGUUUUCUAGAUUUCAAACUUUAAUUGCAGGACUCAAAGUUCUGGACAAGGGCUACACAACUGCAGAUCAUGUCAAAAUGAUAGUCAGAAGCUUGCCAAAGAAGUGGAGACCAAUGGUCACAACAUUAAAGUUAUCAAAAGAUCUGAACAAUAUCAGCCUUGAGGAACUCAUCAGUUCACUCUGAAGUCAUGAAAUAGAACUUGAGGAAGAUGAGCCUCAAAAGAAGAUCAAGUCUGUAGCACUAAAGUCCAGAUCUGAAAGACGCAAACCAGAAAGGAACAAAGCCUUCCAAGCUGAAGAGGAAG
This 10096-nucleotide long non-coding RNA is filed under the name Lathyrus oleraceus (garden pea). Its description in RNAcentral is "Pisum sativum (pea) long non-coding RNA (PSAT_LNC036898)". Lineage: Eukaryota; Viridiplantae; Streptophyta; Magnoliopsida; Fabales; Fabaceae. The record is from RNAcentral.